This 479-nucleotide long non-coding RNA is filed under the name Bos indicus x Bos taurus (hybrid cattle). Its description in RNAcentral is "lncRNA (ENSBIXG00000008774.1)". The record is from RNAcentral. Lineage: Eukaryota; Metazoa; Chordata; Mammalia; Artiodactyla; Bovidae.
AUCUCGGCACCCUGAACAAGCUACUACAUGGUGGACAGGAGCUGGAAUAACAGCUCUGCACAGGGCUGAGGAUUCAAAGGUGGCUUCUCUCCCUCCAGGAGACACGUCCAGGGCAUUGCAUCUUGCUAUCCUGCAGAUCCUCAACUCGCCCCACCACCCCGGAGCUACCAUCAAGCUCAAUGGACAGAAGCUCAGCCCUGCUGCCUCUCAAAACCCCACACGCCUGCCACCCUGAGCAGGACUCCACCGAUGGACGUCUCCUGAUGGCGGCUAAAGAAAAGGGGUCCUGUGCAGGAGGAGUUGAGGCAUCAUCACAGUUUGAGUUCCUUCGUAGUCUGGUCCAGUGUCCUCACAGAUCUCACAGGCUGGAGAGGUAAUCAAGCAUGAUCAGAGCCCUGGGGAGUUUCAGAUGAGCCCAGAUGCACCAAGAAGAAGGGGUGGCCAUCAGCAAGUCUUCAUGGAGUGGGCACCUUCUGAAC